This 913-nucleotide ribosomal RNA is filed under the name uncultured archaeon. RNAcentral's name for it is "bacterial SSU rRNA". It matches the Rfam family "Archaeal small subunit ribosomal RNA", at positions 35 to 922 of the family's 1478-position model. The record is from RNAcentral.
GAAGCGGGAGGAUAGACAUGCUAGUCAGCGCUCUCAAGCCAACAAGAGAGUGCGGCACACAGCUCAGUAACACGUGGCUAACCUGCCCUCAAGACGGGGACAACCCCGGGAAACUGGGGCUAAUCCCAGAUAGACGAGAACUCCUGGAAUGGGUUUUCGUCCGAAAGGCGUUAGGGUCGUGCUCCUUAACGUCGCUCAAGGAUGGGGCCGCGGCCGAUCAGGCUGUUGGUGAGGCAACGGCUCACCAAACCUAUAACCGGUACGGGCCGUGGGAGCGGGAGCCCGGAGAUGGGAACUGAGACAAGGUCCCAGGCCCUACGGGGCGCAGCAGUUACGAAAACUUGUCACUGCACGAAAGUGCGAACGGGCUACCCCGAGUGCCGUCCGCUGAGGAUGGCUUUUCUCUGCUGUAAGAAGGCGGAGGAAUAAGGAGAGGGCAAGUCUGGUGUCAGCCGCCGCGGUAAUACCAGCUCUCCGAGUGGUGGGGAUGUUUAUUGGGCCUAAAGCGUCCGUAGCUGGCCUUUCAAGUCUCUCGUUAAAUCCAGCGAUUCAAUCGUUGGACUGCGGGAGAUACUGUUUGGCUAGGGGGCGGGAGAAGCCGACGGUAUUUUCGGGGUAGGGGUAAAAUCCUAUAAUCCCGGGAAGACCACCAGUGGCGAAGGCGGUCGGCUAGCACGCGCUCGACGGUGAGGGACGAAAGCUGGGGGAGCGAACCGGAUUAGAUACCCGGGUAGUCCCAGCUGUAAACGAUGCGGGCUAGGUGUUGAAGCGGCUACGAGCCGCUUCAGUGCCGCAGGGAAGCCAUUAAGCUCGCCGCCUGGGGAGUACGGCCGCAAGGCUGAAACUUAAAGGAAUUGGCGGGGGAGCACCACAAAGGGGUGAAGCUUGCGGUUUAAUUGGAUUCAACGCCGGG